CCCUUAGAUGUUCUGGGCCGCACGCGCGCUACACUGACUACUUCAACGAGUUGUUUCCUUGAUCGAAAGGUCUGGGUAAUCUUUGAAAGGUAGUCGUGAUGGGGAUAGAUCCUUGCAAUUUUUGAUCUUCAACGAGGAAUUCCUAGUAAACGCAAGUCAUCAGCUUGCAUUGAUUACGUCCCUGCCCUUUGUACACACCGCCCGUCGCACCUACCGAUUGAAUGGUCCGGUGAAUCUUUAGGACUGUGGCUGAGGCCUUGCCUUGUGUGGGUCUGGCCGUGGGAAUUUAGUUAAACCUUACCAUUUAGAGGAAGGUGAAGUCGUAACA
RNAcentral lists this ribosomal RNA (328 nucleotides) under uncultured eukaryote. RNAcentral describes it as "partial 18S ribosomal RNA". It matches the Rfam family "Eukaryotic small subunit ribosomal RNA", at positions 1470 to 1796 of the family's 1831-position model. The record is from RNAcentral.